ACAGCCACAUCUUGUUGAAAUACCAGUUCCCAUAUGAUCACUGAAGUUAAGCAACAGUGAGCCCGGUCAGUACUUAGAUGAGUAACCAUUUGGGGUUACCAGGUGCUGUAA
Molecule: non-coding RNA, 111 nt
Organism: Acanthosepion pharaonis
Lineage: Eukaryota; Metazoa; Mollusca; Cephalopoda; Sepiida; Sepiidae
Source: the annotation of a GenBank genome assembly